UGGCUCUCGCAUCGAUGAAGAACGCAGCGAAAUGCGAUAAGUAAUGUGAAUUGCAGAAUUCAGUGAAUCAUCGAAUCUUUGAACGCACCUUGCGCUCCUUGGUAUUCCGAGGAGCAUGCCUGUUUGAGUGUCAUGAAACCAUCAACCCCUCCGGCAUUUUGGUGUCGUGUGGUGGCUUGGAAUUGGGGGUUUCUGCUGGCUCCGGUCAGCUCCCCUUGAAUGCAUUAGCUCGGCUUUCCUGGCGGACGUCACUGCGUGAUAAUUAUCUACGCUCUGAUUGCUCUGUGGGGAGCUUUUGGGUUGGGCUUACAAUCGUCUUAGGACAACAUUCUUUCAUUUUGACCUCAAAUCAGGUAGGACUACCCGCUGA
Molecule: unclassified non-coding RNA, 370 nt
Filed under: uncultured fungus
Lineage: Eukaryota; Fungi
Description: partial contains 5.8S ribosomal RNA and internal transcribed spacer 2
Rfam family: 5.8S ribosomal RNA (bases 1-133)
Source: RNAcentral